Long non-coding RNA from Cyprinus carpio carpio, 996 nucleotides. NCBI's taxonomy places the organism in Eukaryota, Metazoa, Chordata, Actinopteri, Cypriniformes, Cyprinidae. The record is from Ensembl.
UCUUACGCUCUUGUCUUCAUAUUCCCUCCCCUAUCCUCCCAGUUUUUCUUGAUUAUUUCUACAAAAUUUACUAGACUGUAUAACAACUGUAGAAGAAGAACUGCAUACCGCAAGGCAUUCUUCCCAAUAUCUGAGCCUGCAUUUCUGAGAAAUCUGAGAUUUCAUUAAGAAGACAUCAGUUUUUAUUCAAAAAGUGUCCAUCGUGCCAGAGAGAGCCACAACGCAGGUUUCAAUGGACAGAUGGAAGGCAGCCAUCAUCUGCACUGGUGUGGAAAUGUGUCUUACAAGGUCUCAGGAAGUUCCUGCUGUAAUGGUAAUAUAACUCUGGGAUUAAGCCAGCUGGUGGCUGACUGCUGUGGUUCUGUAGCUUACAAUCCACUUAAUGAGAUUUGCUGUAAUGGCAGUAUUCUGACUCGAAGCAGCACUUACGCGAAAUGCUGUGGCAAAGACAUGUACUUGACAACGACUCAUGUGUGUUGUGGUAAAAACAACAUAUUUCAAUGGAAGGAAAAUCAUUCUUGUUGUGGCGAGAAAACAUAUGACGAGACAAUCCACUGCUGCUGUAGUAACCCUACACCAGUAGUAAAGCAUAAAAAUGAAACUUGCUGUCUAAAAGCAAAAGAUCAUGAUAAAAAAACAGAACACCAGCCAGGCUCUCCUCCAACUCGCCCUCUGCCCAUAUUAUCAGACUUGAUUUGUGGAUCAGAAACCUACAAUCCCCAUAAACAAAUGUGUUGCUCAGGGAAUCUGUAUAAGGCAUCAGCACUUACUAAGUGCUGUGGUGGAGAUGCUUACACUCUGUCAGAUGACAAUGUGCUGUGCUGUAAUGGAAUCCUUCAUCUCAAUGUGCCUGAGCAGUCUGAGUGUGUUGGAGGUGUUAUAUAUACUCCAGCAAACACUACUUGCCAAAUGUCGACCCGUCCUCGUCUUGGAGAGCACUGCUGUGGAGGACAAACCUUCAAUCCUCGCACGCAUAUUUGCUGUAAUGGUCACAGG